AAAUAGUUUGAUUUUAGCUACCAUCUCAAUUAAUGUAAAACAUAAUACAUGCAACUAACAAGUAACCCGUACAAUUAACACCCCACCCUUAAAGCCUAUUACAACCAGUAUAAGUCAAAACUAAAAAACACAUGUACGCCUGCAGUAAAGAAUUUUGCCAAAAUUUUACCUAAAGAAACAGGUAUUACCUUAAGUGCUGACCCAAUUCGUGCCAGCAGUCGCGGUUAAACGAUAAGCACAAAUUGAGACCCCCCACGGACGACGUAACAGAUAUAAUUUACAUAACAAAAUGGUAUAAUAUAAAACUUAUCACUAGCUCUACAUAUAUCAUCAACCCACACACGAAAGAAUAAACCAAAACAAGGAUUAGAUACCCUUCUAUUUUAUUCAUUAAACUUAUGUUCCGGGCACUACGAAUACACGUUUAAAACCCAAAAAAAUUGGCGGCACUUUAUGCUAUUAGGGGAGUCUGUCAGUUAAUUCGACAAUCCACGCUCAACCCUUCUUGUUUUAGAAAUACAGCUUGUAUACUGCCGUCGUAAGCUAACAUUAAUCAAAAUAGUUAGCAAUAAAAUUAAAUUUCCUACGUCAGGUCAAUGUGCAGCCCAUAAACAAGCCUUGAUGGACUACAAUAAAUACAAAACAAGAUAACAUUAAGAAAUAAUGUUAGAAUAUGGACUUAAUAGUAAAAAUUAAAUAGAAUAUAUAAUUGAAUAAGCAAUCUAAAGUGUGCACACAUCGCCCGUCACUCUCACCACAACCAAGGCGAGAUAAGUCGUAACAUAGUAGGCGUAACUGAAGUUGUGCCUU
RNAcentral lists this non-coding RNA (810 nucleotides) under Alitta succinea. Lineage: Eukaryota; Metazoa; Annelida; Polychaeta; Phyllodocida; Nereididae. The record is from RNAcentral.